GCGCUGUUAGCUCAGUAGGUAGAGCAGCUGCCUUUUAAGCAGACGGUCACAGGUUCGAAUCCUGUACGGCGCA
Molecule: transfer RNA, 73 nt
Rfam family: tRNA
About the family: Transfer RNA (tRNA) molecules are approximately 80 nucleotides in length.